AUUGAACGCUGGCGGAAUACCUUACACAUGCAAGUCGAACGGCAGCGCGGGAGUAAUCCUGGCGGCGAGUGGCGAACGGGUGAGUAAUAUAUCGGAACGUGCCCAGUAGUGGGGGAUAGCCCGGCGAAAGCCGGAUUAAUACCGCAUACGACCUACGGGUGAAAGGGGGGGAUCGAAAGACCUCUCGCUAUUGGAACGGCCGAUAACAGGUUAGGUAGUUGGUGGGGUAAAGGCCCCCCAAGCCUGCGAUCUUGAGGUGGUCUGAGAGGAAGACCAGGCACACUGGGACUGGGACACGGCCCAGACUCCUACGGGAGGCAGCAGUGGGGAAUUUUGGACAAUGGGGGCAACCCUGAUCCAGCAAUGCCGCGUGCAGGAAGAAGGCCUUCGGGUUGUGAACUGCUUUUGUCAGGGAAGAAAUCCCUUGGGAUAAUACCUCGGGGGGAUGACGGUACCUGAAGAAUAAGCACCGGCUAACUACGUGCCAGCCGCCGCGGUAA
This 500-nucleotide ribosomal RNA is filed under the name uncultured bacterium. RNAcentral's name for it is "partial 16S ribosomal RNA". It matches the Rfam family "Bacterial small subunit ribosomal RNA", at positions 29 to 523 of the family's 1533-position model. The record is from RNAcentral.